This 468-nucleotide ribosomal RNA is filed under the name uncultured bacterium. Its description in RNAcentral is "partial 16S ribosomal RNA". It matches the Rfam family "Bacterial small subunit ribosomal RNA", at positions 28 to 507 of the family's 1533-position model. The record is from RNAcentral.
GACGAACGCUGGCGGCGUGCUUAACACAUGCAAGUCGAACGGGAAGGCCCUGCUUUUGUGGGGUGCUCGAGUGGCGAACGGGUGAGUAACACGUGAGUAACCUGCCCUUGACUUUGGGAUAACUUCAGGAAACUGGGGCUAAUACCGGAUAGGAGCUCCUGCUGCAUGGUGGGGGUUGGAAAGUUUCGGCGGUUGGGGAUGGACUCGCGGCUUAUCAGCUUGUUGGUGGGGUAGUGGCUUACCAAGGCUUUGACGGGUAGCCGGCCUGAGAGGGUGACCGGCCACAUUGGGACUGAGAUACGGCCCAGACCCCUACGGGAGGCAGCAGUGGGGAAUAUUGCACAAUGGGCGGAAGCCUGAUGCAGCAACGCCGCGUGCGGGAUGACGGCCUUCGGGUUGUAAACCGCUUUCGCCUGUGACGAAGCGUGAGUGACGGUAAUGGGUAAAGAAGCACCGGCUAACUACGUG